AUUGAACGCUGGCGGCAUGCCUUACACAUGCAAGUCGAACGGCAGCACGGGAGCAAUCCUGGUGGCGAGUGGCGAACGGGUGAGUAAUAUAUCGGAACGUGCCCGGUCGUGGGGAUAACGUAGCGAAAGCUACGCUAAUACCGCAUACGUCCUACGGGAGAAAGCGGGGGAUCUUCGGACCUCGCGCCAUUAGAUGAGCCUAGGUCGGAUUAGCUAGUUGGUGAGGUAAUGGCUCACCAAGGCGACGAUCCGUAACUGGUCUGAGAGGAUGAUCAGUCACACUGGAACUGAGACACGGUCCAGACUCCUACGGGAGGCAGCAGUGGGGAAUUUUGGACAAUGGGCGCAAGCCUGAUCCAGCAAUGCCGCGUGCAGGAUGAAGGCCUUCGGUGUAACUAGCUUUGUUACGGAACGAAACGGUAGAGCUCUAAUACAGUUUGUCUAAUGACGGUACCGUAAG
This 460-nucleotide ribosomal RNA is filed under the name uncultured bacterium. RNAcentral describes it as "bacterial SSU rRNA". It matches the Rfam family "Bacterial small subunit ribosomal RNA", at positions 30 to 484 of the family's 1533-position model. The record is from RNAcentral.